GAAAAGGAUGAGAUGACUGAGAAUGAAGUAACCACAAAUGAUAGCAUAAAAGAUGGGAAUGCACACCAUUCCACAAAGAAACAAAAAUUAAGUUCUUGUGUUGAACAGUCUGCACUGCAAGAACUUGGUGAUGAGGACUCCAAGGAUGCAAGAAGCAGUGAAAACAGCAAAGCAAGAUCAGGUAGCAGCAGAGAUUAUCAGAAAUGGCAGGAUAGUGUUGAGGAGGAAGUAGUUCAAGAUCGUGGUGCUAGGCUUACGCGGAGCAUCAAGAGGCAACUUGACGAAAAUGAACAUAAUUUCCGAAGAAAAGAACGUGAUCCUAGACAAGAGAUGGAAAGAAAUCACAUGGGAAUAAAAGGUAGGGAGGGUUCUUAUCCUUGUAGGGAUUUGGACCCUACCUUGGCCCCUCAUUUGCAUGUAAGAAACGAAGGUUAUGGUAGGCGAAAGGAACGAGAAAAUCCUGAUGGAGCUUGGCAACGGAGGGAGGAAGAUCUGCAUAGCAGAAAAAGUAGAACUGAAGACACAAGGAAGAGGGAACGGGGAGAUGAAUUGGGAUCCAGGCACAGAAGUAAGAUAUGGGAAGGUGAGAGAAGCGACAGAGAGGAAUAUCUUCAUUCAAGAAAAUUGUUGGACAAU
RNAcentral lists this unclassified non-coding RNA (636 nucleotides) under Hevea brasiliensis (rubber tree). Lineage: Eukaryota; Viridiplantae; Streptophyta; Magnoliopsida; Malpighiales; Euphorbiaceae. The record is from RNAcentral.